UAUGGGGCGAAGCUGACGGAGCAUACCGCGUGAGGGAUGACGGCCUAUGGGUUGUAAACCUCUUUUUUCAGGGAGGAAUCAAUGACGUGUACCUGAAGAAUAAGCAUCGGCUAACUCCGUGCCAGCAGCCGCGGUAAGACGGAGGAUGCAAGUGUUAUCCGGAAUCACUGGGCGUAAAGCGUCUGUAGGUGGUCAAAUAAGUCAACUGUUAAAUCUUGAGGCUCAACCUCAAAACCGCAGUCGAAACUAUUAGACUAGAGUAUAGUAGGGGUAAAGGGAAUUUCCAGUGGAGCGGUGAAAUGCGUAAAGAUUGGAAGGAACACCGAUGGCGAAGGCACUUUACUGGGCUAUUACUAACACUCAGAGACGAAAGCUAGGGUAGCAAAUGGGAUUAGAUACCCCCCGGUAGUCAAA
This 414-nucleotide ribosomal RNA is filed under the name uncultured eukaryote. Its description in RNAcentral is "bacterial SSU rRNA". It matches the Rfam family "Bacterial small subunit ribosomal RNA", at positions 370 to 798 of the family's 1533-position model. The record is from RNAcentral.